GACGUAGGGCGCGAGCGUUGUCCGGAUUUAUUGGGCGUAAAGAGCUCGUAGGCGGUUUGUCGCGUCGUUCGUGAAAACUCACAGCUUAACUGUGAGCUUGCGGUCGAUACGGGCAGGCUAGAGUUCGGUAGGGGAGACUGGAAUUCCUGGUGUAGCGGUGAAAUGCGCAGAUAUCAGGAGGAACACCGGUGGCGAAGGCGGGUCUCUGGGCCGAUACUGACGCUGAGGAGCGAAAGCGUGGGGAGCGAACAGU
Molecule: ribosomal RNA, 253 nt
Filed under: uncultured bacterium
Lineage: Bacteria
Description: partial 16S ribosomal RNA
Rfam family: Bacterial small subunit ribosomal RNA
Source: RNAcentral